Molecule: ribosomal RNA, 292 nt
Filed under: uncultured bacterium
Lineage: Bacteria
Description: partial 16S ribosomal RNA
Rfam family: Bacterial small subunit ribosomal RNA
Source: RNAcentral
GUGUCAGCAGCCGCGGUAAGACGAACCGUGCGAACGUUGUUCGGAAUCACUGGGCUUAAAGGGCGCGUAGGCGGGCUGUCCAGUCAAGGGUGAAAUCCUGCGGCUUAACCGUAGAAGAGCCCCUGAUACUGACGGCCUCGAGGGAGGUAGGGGCGUGUGGAACUUCCGGUGGAGCGGUGAAAUGCGUAGAUAUCGGAAGGAACGCCGGUGGCGAAAGCGACGCGCUGGACCUCUUCUGACGCUGAGGCGCGAAAGCCAGGGGAGCAAACGGGAUUAGAUACCCCAGUAGUCC